RNAcentral lists this ribosomal RNA (485 nucleotides) under uncultured bacterium. RNAcentral describes it as "bacterial SSU rRNA". It matches the Rfam family "Bacterial small subunit ribosomal RNA", at positions 20 to 518 of the family's 1533-position model. The record is from RNAcentral.
UGGCUCAGGACGAACGCUGGCGGCGCGCCUAACACAUGCAAGUCGAACGGAGUUAUUGAAAGCUUGCUUUGAUAACUUAGUGGCGGACGGGUGAGUAACACGUGAGUAACCUGCCUUUCAGUGGGGAAUAACGGCUGGAAACGGUCGCUAAUACCGCAUAAUGUAUUUUGUCGGCAUCGACGGAAUACCAAAGAUUUAUCGCUGAGAGAUGGACUCGCGUCCGAUUAGCUAGUUGGUGAGGUAAUGGCUCACCAAGGCGACGAUCGGUAGCCGGACUGAGAGGUUGAACGGCCACAUUGGGACUGAGACACGGCCCAGACUCCUACGGGAGGCAGCAGUGGGGGAUAUUGCACAAUGGGGGAAACCCUGAUGCAGCGACGCCGCGUGUAGGAAGACGGUCCUCUGGAUUGUAAACUACUGUCUUCGGGGACGAUAAUGACGGUACCCGAGGAGGAAGCUCCGGCUAACUACGUGCCAGCCGCAGC